Long non-coding RNA from Vidua chalybeata, 1067 nucleotides. RefSeq lists it as uncharacterized. The transcript has 3 exons. The record is from RefSeq and is a predicted model, not a curated record. NCBI's taxonomy places the organism in Eukaryota, Metazoa, Chordata, Aves, Passeriformes, Viduidae.
GACAAGCAGGAAUAUUCUUCCUCUACAAAGAGGAAUUAAUGCUGGAUGGACCUAUUUAAUGUAGUGAAAUUACAAAUACUUUUUGUGAAUCACACACAAUUGUUGCCGUAAUUCUUGUCAAGAAUUGUAACUCUGUUAAUGGAGGAUGAAAGCUUUAAUUAUAGUACCUAAACUAAGAUCAUUUUUGAUGUGACCCUUGGGGUAAGGCACUAUUUGCAAUUUUAAACAGGCAAUGAAUAAUUAACACAGAACAUUAAUGCCUAAAUUGAUUGUCUAAUUUAUUAAUUAGUAGAGUUACUCUGUUUGUUCUACCUGGCAAGUCACAACAACAGGUCAACACCAUUGUGGAAAUUUACUCAAAAGCUCCAGCUCCAACCAAUCAUGAAUGGAAAUGUGAGAAGAGAUAGAAGAACACUCUCCUUUAAACAUUAAGAGGAAUCAGGUUGUUUCAGUAUUGCAAUAAUGGAGAUGAAAGGGUUAAUUCAAAAUGUCAUGCUAAGAAUUAGGAAUUGGAAAGCUAAUUUGCAUUAUUAUAGAGAAGUGUACUUUUGACUUCUCAGCCAGCUUUGGGAAAAGCAAUUAUUCUGGGGGCAGGGGGAGGAAACUGUGUGAAGAACACCCUUUGUAGGGCUUUGGAUCAUGUGAUGGCAUCAGGAAUCCCUCACACCUCAGGAAUGGGAGGUGCUCCCACUGCAAAGAUCCUCCUCACUUCUAGCCUGGCAUCACUGAGGGCAGUACCACCACUCCCUUAGGGAAAACUUUGGGAAAAGCAGCUCUAAGCUAGAAAAUGGAGGGCCAGGUCACUGAGAGCAUCCCUGAAAACAAGAGGAAAGGAGUCAGGUCUCAGUGCUCAAAUUCUUCAGAGUACAAAAGAGCCGGUGCCUGGGCAUUAACGUACCGCAAGAUGGACUUCUGAACGAGCAGCACAUUGCACCCAGCCUUCUUGAUCUGCUUCACCAGGUUCAGGAUGUAGGCUCUCUCCUCACGCAGCACUCUGUCCAUUUGAGCAUAAUCAGAAACAACAAUCUGGUUGUCCAUCUAUUUCAAAUAAAAAAAGAGAAAACCAA